UACCCUGACCCUAGAAAUUCCCCCCCCCCUUAAAAACUUCUACCUGAGUUAUUCUGGGAUGUAUAUCAUUUCAGAGUGUCCUAAAAACAAACCGAUUUCGGAAGGUAUUUCUGUGAUGGCAAGUUAAGCUUGUGCCUAGGACAGUGGUGAUGGGGAAGGCGGGGUUGGGAUUACUUCCUGUUGGGGCCAACCGUGAACUAAUAGGGCCAGGAGAUAAUUAAGAUUCAAGGGGUACUGAGUUCCAGUUAAGCAAAGGAUAGGCUAUACCAGGUAAAUUCCCUUGUUCAUCAGUUCCCCACACAGAAUUUGGGGCAUCUUGGUUUCAGUGUUCACCUACUUCUUUCAUGUUUUCCUGCUGCCCUUUGCUCCUAUCAUGAAGGCGAGCCCAGCACACCACCUUGCCCCUGCCCCAGGCAUGGUGUCGAGGAAAUAGAGUUUGGAAGGAAGGGUUCAACCCAGCCUUCUCAGAAGAGGAAAAGUUUGGUCUGAAAUACAACAAAAACUUUGGAGAGGACCUGAGAUGAGGUCUGUAAAUUGUGAUGUGUGAUGCUUCUCUUCCCUGGGGCAGAUUUUUUUACAAUCCAGAAAUAAAACCAAGAAUCCCUUGGAGCCCUUUAGGGGAAGCCUACCUGGUGGCAGCCCCUGCAUGGCUAUUUCCAGGAAAGUAUGGCGCUUCCACAUACUUGUGUCCUUCCGAGGUGUGUUCUUACCCUUCCAGAAUUAAUUAAUGUUCAAGGGCAAGCCUAGCAUUCCAGGGAGGUUUUUUACAACCGGAGAAGAGCUGGAAUUCACUUGAGUUCUGGCAGAAUAGAGAAUUUAUCUACCUAACCUGAGGGCCAGAAUAGAUCUAUUUUGUCUUCUGUCUUCAAGUUAGAUUAUAAAAUACCGUAUUUAUCCUACAAGCCUAACCUCUCUGUUAGACCGAGCCACAGAUUGCCAUUUUUUAAGACAAACAGUUUGCAGUUUACUUCAGCCAGUUCCUCUUUCGGUAAGUAUCCAGAAACUUCUGGGAAACAUCUGGGGUUUGCAUCCAAACUGAGUGAAGAUCAGCUGAGUUUUCUUCAAAUGGGUCUUUUUCACCUCUUUAAGUGGAAGUGGAGAAGAACUGGGCAUGUGUAGAAAAGGUGGUGUGGAGGAGCCCUGUUGUCCUUGACUGGGAUUCUUGUGGCAGUGUCCCUGGAGGGGUGUCUCUAAAGAGAGCGAGGGGUGAGGAAUAGGGCGGGAAGAAGCCCCCAAGGUCAGACCACCAGAACCAUCAUUUCACAGAUGGGAAACUGAGGCAGGCACUGAGCCAUGGCUGACUCCAGCAUGGAAGCAGAUCUCAGCCCCCUGUCCUGAAGUCCCUGUCUACCUCCCGUCACCUCCCUCCCUUUUCUGGCCCACCUGCCUUUCAGUGUUGAUCACUUUACAAACAGGGACAGAUUAUAGCUGAGAAGGAAAAGUCGGGGAGUUCCUGUUGUGGCAUAGCAAAAAUGAAUCCGACUAGGAUUCGUGAGGGAUAUGGGUUCAAUCCCUGGCCCCGCUCAUGGGUUAAGGAUCUGGUGUUGCCCUGACCUGCAGUGUAGAUUGCAAAUGCGGCUCAGAUCCUGCUUUGCUGUGGCUGUGGUGUAGGCUGGCAGCUGUAGCCCCGAUUCAACCCCUAGCCUGGGGUAUAGCCUUAAAAAAAAAUUAUGCAUUUUAUUCACACACACACACACACACACACACAUACACACACAUUUUUUUUCAGAUUCUUUUCCCAUAUAGGCUAUCAAAAAGUUUGGAAGAAUAUUAAAAGUUUGGAAAAAGCAAUAAGCAUAACUAUGACCUGCAUGGCUGGGGCUGGGAUUACUGUAGGGGACAGACCAGACCAGUGACCAGUUGUUGUGACCAUUGAAUGAGGGUUAGAACAGUCUGUAGCCAGACUGACUCUGCAGAAUUCCAUCUACACCCCCCCCCACACACACACCCACACACACACCCACACCCAUACCGUUAAGCCCUCAGGUGCCAGGAAGACUGGAGUUGCUGUCUUCUUAGAUAUUUAUGUGUCCACUGUCCAAAAGGAUAAAGCCCAGACCUUGGAAACAUUUCAAGAUCAUAAAAUCCAGGCCCAGGAGACUCUGUGACUCCUGAAGAUAUUUUAUUUAUAUCCCAAAAGGUCAAGGUAAGAACCCAGGGUCCUUUCCCCUCCCAUCUUAAAGGAGCAAAGGUUUCUCUCCUUCUUUUCUAGACAUGGAAAAAAGCACUUCCUUUUCUCCUGCAGUUCCUGAAGCUCUGGGAUGUAUCUGCCCCUGUAGAAAGUCCUCAUUUGGAAAUUCCUCUUCUGGCUUACUGGGUUAAGAACCUGACACAGUGGCCAUGAGGAUGUGGGUUUGAUUCCUGGCCUCGAUUAGUGGGUUAAGGAUCUGGCAUUGCCAUGAGCUGUGUGUAGGUCACAGAUGCGGCUUGGAUCUGGUGUUGCUGUGGCUGUGGUGUCGGCUGGCAGCUGUAACUCUGAUUCAACCCCUAGCCUGGGAGCCUCCAUAUGCCGCAGGUGCAGGGGGUGAAAAAAAGAGAAUGUCCAUCAGCUCUCAUCAUCUCGCCCAGGAGUCUGGGUCUGGGAGCCGACUCUGCAGGGUCUGUGGCUGUGUGGUAUGGGUGUGUGUAUCCGCAGAGAGCACCUUCCCCAACCAUUGCCUUGGGAUUCUGCCGUGUCCACGUAUCUAAAGCACAUAACUGGAAGUGGGCAACAUCUCAGAGCCUGCACGUUUUGAUGAACCGGUCCAUACACUGGGCUCUUUGCUGGUCCAGAGAAUCCCGGGUCCCUGUGUGUGGAUCAGGUCUGAGGACCCAGGAAGCACAGGACACGGGGUGUGUCAGCAGGACUGAGUAACUUCAGACAACCUCACUGGCAUUCCUUCUUUUACCAAAGAGACCCUGUGUAUCACUAAGCGGCCAAUUGUAGCUGGAUUCUUUUACAGUAAAGUGUAGUUCUAAUGCAAUGCCUCUGUCCAUGCUGUUCCUGAAAGGAGUGAAAAAAAUGCUGGCGUCUCCCGGUGUUUCCACUUUUGAUCUGUCUCAUCUGGGAAUUUAAUACAUUUUCUGAUCAAAGUCCAAAGUCUCUGCUUUGCUCCAGCUUUAAUCUUUGGCUAUAAAGUCUCCCUUCUGUUACACACACACACACACACACACACACACACACACACACACAUCAGUUUACAGCCAAACAGCAGUUUCGUUUGGGGGACUGGAGGGGUGAGUAGGGAAUACAUAUCUAGAUAAAGGGGUAAUCAAUGCCUUCACUAUGGGAAGGUAGUUUGGACAGUUCAGGUAAACGUUAACCAUUUUUCAUGUAAGUGUUCAGUAUGUUUGAGAUCUUUAAUUCUAUACAAUGAAUUUUGUUCAUUGUUGAAAUGGCCCUAAGCCAUAUUUUUCUGUUAUUUUAAAAAAUAUUUAUGUUGAGAAAAAGACGGAAAAUAAUUUAAAUUCAAAUAUUUCUCAAACUCCAUAUUCACUUAUGUUACUUUUUUUUUUUUUUGAGAAAAAAAAUUUGUUUCCCUUAAGAAAAGUGAUAACAUUUAUCAAGAAGUCCAAAGGAUCCCUUCACAAAGGAAAACUCCUUUACCUCCCCUGACAGUGAGUUGUUCAGACAG
Molecule: long non-coding RNA, 3614 nt
Filed under: Sus scrofa (pig)
Lineage: Eukaryota; Metazoa; Chordata; Mammalia; Artiodactyla; Suidae
Description: lncRNA (ENSSSCG00055005827.1)
Source: RNAcentral